This 159-nucleotide small nuclear RNA is filed under the name Chelydra serpentina (North American snapping turtle). RNAcentral describes it as "U4 spliceosomal RNA (ENSCSRG00000017510.1)". The stretch from base 1 to 131 matches the Rfam family "U4 spliceosomal RNA". Rfam says of the family: U4 small nuclear RNA (U4 snRNA) is a component of the major U2-dependent spliceosome. The record is from RNAcentral. Lineage: Eukaryota; Metazoa; Chordata; Testudines; Chelydridae.
AGCUUUGCGCAGUGGCAGUAUAUAGCCAAUGAGGUUAAUCCGAGGUGUGAUUAUUGCUAGUUGAAAACUUCUCCUUGUAUGGAAAUCUUACUACCCAGAGGCAAGAUAAUCUAUCAUCCUCUUCUUCAACAUUUCUCCCUUGACUCCCGCCCCAAAAGA